Molecule: ribosomal RNA, 478 nt
Filed under: uncultured bacterium
Lineage: Bacteria
Description: partial 16S ribosomal RNA
Rfam family: Bacterial small subunit ribosomal RNA
Source: RNAcentral
GACGAACGCUGGCGGCGUGCUUAACACAUGCAAGUCGAACGGUAAGGCCCUUCGGGGUACACGAGUGGCGAACGGGUGAGUAACACGUGGGUGAUCUGCCCUGCACUUCGGGAUAAGCCUGGGAAACUGGGCCUAAUACCGGAUAGGACCACUGCCUGCAUGGGUGGUGGUGGAAAGCUUUUGCGGUGUGGGAUGGGCCCGCGGCCUAUCAGCUUGUUGGUGGGGUGAUGGCCUACCAAGGCGACGACGGGUAGCCGGCCUGAGAGGGUGACCGGCCACACUGGGACUGAGAUACGGCCCAGACUCCUACGGGAGGCAGCAGUGGGGAAUAUUGCACAAUGGGCGCAAGCCUGAUGCAGCGACGCCGCGUGAGGGAUGACGGCCUUCGGGUUGUAAACCUCUUUCAGCACCGACGAAGCGCAAGUGACGGUAGGUGCAGAAGAAGGACCGGUCAACUACGUGCCAGCCGCCGCGGUAA